AAGAAACUAAGACUAUUUCAAAUUUGGCGUCCAACCUUUUGUCACACUCUACCUAACAUCAAUGAUCUCACCUUCACCAGAGUUUUCAACUUGUUAUCUCAUGUAGUUGGUUUGUUGAAAAGGGCAGAAUUCAUACAUACACAAAAACAGAGAGGAGCAACCAUUCCAUAUCUCAUAUUUUUCAUCUUCAACAUCAAUUAAAAAGGUUAGCUAGUCCACCAUGAUCUUAGCCAAUCAUGUUUAGCUAAACAAAGUUUAUUUAACUGAAUUUUUAUGUAUGGUUUCCUGCUAUGGCUUUUCUUUAUGCUUCUUUUCUUCAGAUCCUUUGUAUUCUUGCUCCUUCUUCUUUUUUCUCCUGAUUACGUUUUAUGUAUAUUUUAUACAUCAGAUCUUGAGAACUUGAACGGAAGGGAAGGAAUUACAAUCAUGGAAAGCGAGAAAGGGAAAGCAAUCAAAUUAUCGGUAUGUCAUGAUACAAUAUUUAUUACAACUAAAGUUGACAAAAUAAAUGGAAUUUGAAGGAACCCUCUGUUGUUGAUUGUGUUAUCUUUCAAAAUUUAUACACUAAAAACUCUAAAUAUCUUUUUGAUACUAUUAGUAAAUUUUAACUUAUGAUAGCAAAUUAUAAGUUACUAAUUAGAUGCCCCUGAUUAUCAUCUUUCUUUUUGGUUCCAAUAUGUUAAUUUUUGAGGUUAUGCCUCUUUUCCUUUCCCUAAAUUGUUCCUCUAACCUUUGAAUCAUGGUAUUUAGCGGGUAACAAAGAAAUAUAGAGAUUUAAAAAGAUAAAAAGUUGCAACAUAUUGCAUGAAGAAGAGCGUUAUUGUUUUAUGAUAUUUUUAUAGAUGAAAAAUUAGUUUAAAUAUUUGUCACGUUUCUCCUUUUUAUUUAUGGACUAAUUUAUAAAAUGAUCACUUAAUAACUCACUGGUAAUUUUUUGUGACACAUACCAUA
This 951-nucleotide long non-coding RNA is filed under the name Nicotiana tabacum (common tobacco). Its description in RNAcentral is "long non-coding RNA (NTAB_LNC005588)". Lineage: Eukaryota; Viridiplantae; Streptophyta; Magnoliopsida; Solanales; Solanaceae. The record is from RNAcentral.